CAUAAUUCAUGCCUAUAUUUAUAAAUGGAAUAAAAUAGAACAAUUUUAAUACCCAAAAUUAACCUGGAAAAGCUAAGUUAAAAAUGAAACGAGCCAUAUAUAUUGCCGAUUAUUAUCAUAUUUUGAUAUCAGUGUUUUGCAGAUGAUUCUAAUCUAACAUAUCUGAAUCUUUUAUUCUUUUUUGUGAAACUGACUUGCUUGCAUCUUAUGGCUGGAGUCAGUAUAAAUUUCUUAGAACUUAUCAAUCCAACGAAUAUACUUCUAAAAGAUAUUACAUUAGCCUUGCACAACCUGCAGUUAUAAUCAAAACACUUAAUCAACGUAGCUCAAGCAUGUCUAUUUAAGAUGUUAAAUAUGUUUUGGUAAAUUACUUUGCAAAUAAAAUUCUAAAUACAAUGGUUUGGCAUUAUGAUAAAGAAUAAGACAAUUUACAAGCGAAAAUAAAUUUGACUGAUGUGUCCAGGUACACUCAUACUAGAUACGAUGAGCAUUGAUUUGAAACACCAGUAUAAUAUACCGAGACAUUAAAAGACAAACGUAGUGGCCAUGCAAAAAUAUUGCUGCAACGUCUGUCCAGUUAUCACUCGGAUUCAAUUAAGAUUUGUUUAAUUCCAAUACUCACAAAGCUUGUGAUGAACAAUAUUUUUCGUAAUUUCAACCGUUCUGCAUACUUUACACGACAUUGAUUUACAAAGUGUAAAUUCAUCUUCAAAGAAAAGUAGGAAAAUAAAAGAAAGGAAGAAAACACUGUUCAUGCAUUUUUUCAAAAUUGUUGCAAAAAAUCUAAUAAAUUUAUUUGGCUAUCAAAUGCUAAAUCAUAAAUACUCGUGUGUUAGCGGUUCAGUGUAUAACAAGUCAAUCACAAUGCUUAUUUAUAUAUCGUUUGAUUGUAAAAUCAUUACAUACAGUAGG
RNAcentral lists this long non-coding RNA (912 nucleotides) under Schizosaccharomyces pombe (fission yeast). The record is from RNAcentral. Lineage: Eukaryota; Fungi; Ascomycota; Schizosaccharomycetes; Schizosaccharomycetales; Schizosaccharomycetaceae.